AGCGAACGCUGGCGGCAGGCCUAACACAUGCAAGUCGAACGGACCCUUCGGGGUUAGCGGCGGACGGGUGAGUAACACGUGGGAACGUGCCUUUAGGUUCGGAAUAGCUCCUGGAAACGGGUGGUAAUGCCGAAUGUGCCCUUCGGGGGAAAGAUUUAUCGCCUUUAGAGCGGCCCGCGUCUGAUUAGCUUGUUGGUGGGGUAAUGGCCCACCAAGGCUACGAUCAGUAGCUGGUCUGAGAGGAUGACCAGCCACAUUGGGACUGAGACACGGCCCAAACUCCUACGGGAGGCAGCAGUGGGGAAUCUUGCGCAAUGGGCGAAAGCCUGACGCAGCCAUGCCGCGUGAAUGAUGAAGGUCUUAGGAUUGUAAAAUACUUUCACCGGUGAAGAUAAUGACUGUAGCCGGAGAAGAAGCCCCGGCUAACUUCGUGCCAGCAGCCGCGGUAAUACGAAGGGGGCUAGCGUUGCUCGGAAUUACUGGGCGUAAGGGAGCGUAGGCGGACAUUU
This 509-nucleotide ribosomal RNA is filed under the name uncultured bacterium. RNAcentral describes it as "bacterial SSU rRNA". It matches the Rfam family "Bacterial small subunit ribosomal RNA", at positions 28 to 584 of the family's 1533-position model. The record is from RNAcentral.